This is a long non-coding RNA of Pan troglodytes (chimpanzee), 7369 nucleotides long. RefSeq lists it as uncharacterized. Lineage: Eukaryota; Metazoa; Chordata; Mammalia; Primates; Hominidae. The record is from RefSeq and is a predicted model, not a curated record. The transcript is spliced from 5 exons.
GAGACCAGGACUAAGAGGCAGCACGUGGAGAACAUCCAGAAGCGUCCAUCAGUCAGAGUCGCCCUGCCCAGCCCACCCUCCAUCCCGGGGGCCAGGGCAUAGGGGUUCCCUGUCCAUCUUGGCCAAGUUCAUCUGAUCUGCAGAUGGGGAGCCUGCCUGGCACGAAUCCUAUGGUCCCUGCUUCCUUUGGGAAAUCAAGAGCAAAGCUCGCUCCCAACUCAUGGUGUUCCCCAAGCAGAAUAGAGGCCGGCUGUGUGCGUUGAAGAAAUGAAUGAAGUGAUCGGGAGCUGAGUGCCAGCGGAGACCGGCCCCCUUGGGCAUAUGUGAAAACCUGAGGACCCCACUGAACUUUCAAAAUCCAAAGAAGAGAAUCCUGAGGAAAGAUCUGUAUCAUUUGCUGGGGUGUAAGAUGUGCAAGGAUAUUAACAAUUUAACAAACACAUAUCAAAGGGAGGUAUAAGUAUGAUUUUCCAUGAUAAUUUUCUAUUGGAAGCAUGAAUGAUACAUAGACAUAUAUUUUCUUGAUCUGGUUUAGUAAAGUAUUAUUAAUAUUAGAUAACCAAAUUCCUACUGUAACCCAGAGGGCUAAAUUGUAUGAACAAUGUUGUCUGAUGUCCUGGUUGCCAGGCACUGUGGACAGCCACCCCAAAGUCCUCCCCACCUCUUCUUCCUGGCCCUCUCCAGGCAGAUGGGAUGGAAACUCAGAACUUGACUGACAUUCCCAGCCUCCUUUGAAGUUCUGAGCCACCUCAGGGCUCCUCACCAGAAUCAGCUCUCGGGAGCCAGGCUUCUCUUACUCAGAACCAGUGCAGGCUUCAGGCCCCACACCUCCUGCUCGGCCUCCUCUGGCCUCGGUUGAUGAGUUGGAAGCUCCCUCCCCUGCCUCCCUGCGCCCAGGCUCACAAACCUGUCACUGGAUGUCUUUAUUUAGUGAGCUUUCCUGCCCAAGCCUGCUUCCAGGGCAGGAUGUAUUGAUACAAAAUCCAUCACUUAGUGUGUCUGGGCAUUUAAUCAAUGAGGCUGCAGGGAGCCCCGCGUGACUCAGAGGGUGCCGGGAGUGAAGGCCAGGCGAGAAGAGCAUCCAGAGUGUGUGGAAGGGUGGUUUUUAUUUUUGAUCCUGUAAUGUCAGGCUCCAGCAAUUAGACGUCUACUCCCUGUAAUGCUGGCACUGCAGCAGAAUUCCACCACAACCUGGAUAUUUGCCCAGGUACUCAUUUUAUAACUCCCAUGUUCAUUCAAUAAAUACCCUACCUGUAUCCUAUGUGCCAGACACAGAUCCAGAUGCUGAGAAGAGUCAACUAACAGCUCACAGGUCACACUGAGCUUUUGCUCCCUAAUGGAAUGAUGGUGAUGAUGGUGUUCGUGAUGAUGAUGGUCAUGAUGGUGAUGGUGAUGGUUGUGAUGGGGAUGGUGAUGAUUGUUAUGAUGGUAAUGAUGGUGAUGAUGAUGGGAUGAUGAUGGUGAUAAUGAUGGUAAUGAGAGUGAUGGUGAUGGGAUGAUGGUGAUGAUGGUGAUGGUGUUGGUGAUGGAGAUGAGAUAAUGGCGAUGGUGAUGGGAUGAUGGCAAUGCUGCUUAUGGUGAUGGUGAUGAUGAUGGUGAUGAUGAUGACGGUGAUGAUGAUGAUGAUGGUGACAUGAUGAUGAUGAUGGUGAUGUGAUGAUGAUGAUGGUGAUGUGGUGAUAUGGUGGUGAUGGUAAUGGUGAUGGCAGUGAUGGUGAUAAUUAAGGUGAUGGUGAUGGUGACGAUAACGGUGGUGAUGGCGGUGGUGAUGGUGGUGAUGGUGAUGAUGGUGAUAAUGGUGAUCAUGACAGUGUCAGCAGAGGAAGCAGGCACAGUAGUAGCAAUCUGAAUAAACAUUACACAGCCCUUACUAUGCAACAGAUGCUAUUCUGGGCACCUCCCAUAUGUCAGGUCACUCAACUGACACGACAUCACCUGAGGUAAGUGCUCAUGAUCUCCAUUUGAUAAAUGAGAAACUGAGGCACAGAGAAGUUAAGUCACCUUCCUAAAAGCACACAGGAUGUGCUAGUGCUGGGAUUCAGAGCAAGCGCCUCAUCCCAUAAGCAGUGGACUCAGAAACAACACCAUAAACUAAUAGGCAAAUACUUUUAGACAGUGACGAGUAUUAUGAAGACCGUCAAGAGGGUGAUGUGAGUGUGACUUGGUGUGAGGAGGCUGCAUUCAAUGAGAGAUCAAGGAAGGCCUCUCUGAGUAGACACUCACUGGGGAGGGGAAGCAUGAGGGUUGUGAGCAGUGUUCAGACAGGUGUCAGAGCAAGUGCAAAGGCCCUGGGGUGGAGUGAGCUUGGAGCAUUCAAGGAACAGCAAGAUGGCCAGAGAGGCUGAAGCAAAAUAAACAGAGGGGGAGAUGGAGCCUGGGCCAUGGGGGCCUCACAGUUCAUGAGACAUGGUGUGGGUUUAUUGUGAGUGGGUGGAAGCCCCUGGAGCCCCUGCAGGAAAUCACCUCAGUCACUCCAUGAUGCCUGAGUGUGUGGUGCUGAUUCUGGGCUAUGGGGCAGGUUGGGGCCUCUGCUGUGUCCUGGGGACAAUGGGAGGAAUCUGCUCCCAGCAAUUAUAAACACAUCACGAGCAAGACGGCAAGAACCCUCUCUGAGGUGAUCAUGUUUGGGAAAGGCCCUCCUAACACACCCCAUUUCCAGGAGCUAGAAUGUCUUGACCUGGCCUAGGACACCACUGUGCAAAUCAAGGGACGUGUGUUCAUUUGAGUGGAUUGCAGCAGCCAGUGUGGGGCCCAGCAUUGGGAAUUAGAUCCAGAUUGUGCUUCUGUGAGAGUUUCUCUCUCUACAAAAGUCAACAGCACCAUGGGAGCUCUGGUCACUUCCCAGGUCAUCAGGAGACUUUGGGGUGAAUUUAUAAGUAGAGGCAGCUGAGCCCUUGUGAAGUUAUCCUAGACAUCUUGGAGGCCUGAGUGGGCCACAUCUCUGCAGGCAGGACCACCAGGCAGGGGGUGGGCAGCUUUGUUGUCAGGGGCAAGGCUGCAAUUAAACAUCUCAUUGCCCUGGCUCCCGCUCUGGGACUGCCUGCAGGAAAACCAAUGAUCAGAAAUGCAGCUGAUGGGGUGCCCAGACUCCUCAGGGCCCUGCUUUCAUCUGAUGACGCUGCUGAGCUUCGCACAUGAACUGUGCCAUCCCAGGAGGCUGUGCUCUCAUGAGGAGGUGUGUGACUGUCUUAAUGAGACGUCCCUGGCACUGAGCCAACCUAAUCUCAGAUCCUCAGGGUGAGUUCUCUGAGCUCUGACUGUCAUCAUCCCCCAUGACAGCCUGGCUGAGUCCCAGGGGAUGGGUGCUCUGAUGCUGAGAUCAUGUAUGGGGCUGUGUGUGUGGAAGUGAGGUAGGAGGUGAGGGCUCCACUCUGGAGCAGAUUGAAGACUGGGUGAAACAGAGAAAAGGCCACAGCGCCUCUCCAUAAGACACGGCCACUAGUGCCAUGACAGUUUACCAUUGCCAUGACAACACUGUGAACUUACCUCACCUUUCCAUGGCAACAACCCCAAGACCUGGAAGUUACCACCGUUUUCCUGAACUUUCUGUGUAAUUCAUUCCUUAAUUUGCAUGUAAUUAAGAGUGGGUAUGUAUAGAUAUACAUGAUUGCAGAGCCGCCCCACCGCUCCCCUCAGCUCACUGACCUGGGCUGAGCCCCACUUUUGGGGCUCUCCUGCCCUGCUUCAGAAGGGGACACCCCAGCAUGCACCAGCCCACACCCCGCCCCCUCUGUCCUCUUCCCCACUCACUGGCCUCAUUGGGGAAUGCUUGGAAUUAUUCCAGGACAGCUUUGUCCUUUGCCCGGUGCUGUGUCCCCAGGUAAACAGUGGGUGCCUGCAGAGAGAGGUCCUCACGGGGACAGAGCCUCCAGCCCUCUCCACUACCCCGACACACAGAGGAUACACACGGGUGAGCUGGAUGCAUUGAUGAACUUGGAAUGUCGUGGUCCCCAGAGGAGGCUCACAAGGUGCCCAGCAGCAGCUGAAGCAGAGCCUUGAGCAAGGGGCACGCCUGUUCUGACAUCACCCCCUCCCUGCUGCAGGGAGAGGUGGCACACUCUCCCACCCACACCGCCUGGGUUCACUGUGUUAGGGGAGGGUGCUGGCAGGGAUCAUAAGGUUUGAUUUCCAGAAGUCAUGGGGGCUGGAGACGAUCCAGGUCUGGGUCAACUUGGGAGAAAUAGGAGGGAGACCUAGGGUUGCCAGAUUAGGAAAUAAAAAAGGAAGGAUGUGCAGAUAAACCUCCAUUUCUGCUAAAAUAUGCGUGUGUGCAAGGACAUAGAUAUCUAUGUACACACAGGUUCGCAUUAGCGGUGGCAGUGAGGACCUUUCUAUGACGUCCGGGUGACAUAGGCCGCCUUUGCAAAUAUGCGUGUGUGCAAGGACAUAGAUAUCUAUGUAGACACAGGUUCGCAUUAGCGGUGGCAGUGAGGACCUUUCUAUGACGUCCGGGUGACAUAGGCUGCCUUUGCUUUGUGGGUGUCCUCGCCACAGCUGGGGCCCUGGGUGCUUUGCAGGGGACCAUCCCCUCUCACGAGCCAUCCUACUCCCCAAAGCACCUCCCUGCCCCUCCCGAGGGGCCCGCGUUCAUAGGCACUCACAGAUUUUUUUUCAAGAGGAGCUCAUGGUUGCUUAUUUCUAAUGUUCUACUUUGCUUGGAAAAAUUUGAUCCAGUCUGAAUUUUCCUGUCAAUUCAGGAAAUUGAUCAGUCCUGAAAAAUGACUUGUUUUUUGUUGCUGUUGUUGUCCGAAACUGCUUCUCUUUGAAGUUUAGUGAAAUGAGAAAGUAGCCUGGGGUUGAUAAAUCUGUAUUGAUUUUACCUGGAAUACCUUACAUCUUUUGAUUUCAACCCUUCUUAGAUUUCAGGAAAGCUCUCUUAAUUGUAUCUCUGGAAUCUUCUCCAUUUCACUUUUCUCUUCUCUGCAGAAACAAACUAUGCAAACGCCUUACCUCUUUGUGCUUUCUUUUUUUUCUUUUUUUUUUUUUGAGAGACAGAGUCUCGUUCUGUCACCCAAGCUGGAGUGCAGUGGCGUGAUCUUGACUCACUGCAACCUCUGCCUCCUGGGUUCAAGCAAUUCUCCUGCCUCAGCCUCCCAAGUAUCUGGGAUUACAGGCAUGUGCCUCCACACUUGGCUUAUUUUUUGUAUUUUUAGUUGAGAUGGGGUUUCGCUAUGUUGGCCAGGCUGGUCUCGAACUCCUGACCUCAGGUGAUCUGCCCGCCUUGGCCUCCCAAAGUGCUGAGAUCACAGGCGUGAGCCACCGUGCCUGGCCCUGUUUGUGCUUUCAUAUGAAUUGUUUUCUCUUUAAUUCUUCUUGAAAUUAUUUCUGUUCCGUUUAUUUUGCAAAUGUAUCCUGCUUGUUGCUGCUGUUUUCAACCGUGCCCUUUCUCCUUCUUUCUGUGAUGAUGCCUCCAUUUCUGUGAUGUCUGACUUUUUUCCUUCCUCCUCUUUCUUGAGCGCCGCCACCUCGGUUUUCUUCACCUCUUGUUGUCUGUCUUCUGAGGUCUUCCUCGAGCCUGUGCCUCUGCCACAAGUUCCUGAUCCACGGAGGCCACAGGUAACAUCCGGUUGUUUGAACCCGUGGAGAACUGCGGGGCACGGUUCUCCUCUGCUUCUCAGCCACGCCGUCCCGCCAUGCGUUCUUCACCCGCCUUUUGUCGGUUGCUGCCUCCCUCCCUCCAGCUGUCAGCUGUCCCUCUCUCUUCCUUCUUCUCCCUUCCUCCCUCUCCAUGUGUACGGCUUGGACCUUAACCCUCUUUUUCUCUCAAAGACCUGAAAUGUGGGGGUCCUAGGGGGCCCCUCUUCAGAGCCACACUUACAGCCAGCCAGUUGCAAAGAGGGCAGGUAGAUUCCACACCAUCUUCCACAGCCCGCUGCCUGCCACUCUCUGCAGCUCAAAUUUCAGGGGCUCCUGCAGCCGAGACAUGGACCCUACUUUACACCAAGCAGAGGGCCGUGGGGUUCCCUCGUGUGACUGUGAGGUUUGCUGGAGACUGCGAGCCUGCCCGUGCGGGCUCUGCCCUGCCUGGUGCCCAUCCUGUCUCCGAUCCACCCGCACGCCGCAUCCUGGAUCCUCACCUCCCGCACCCAUGGAUUUCAGCAUCCAGUGUUUCUUGGUGUUCCCUCUCACAGGCCCAGUUCCUCAUGGACCUGAGACCUUCCCACCCAGCGUCUCCCCGAACACGGCCGGUAGUGUUCAGCCUUUCUCCACUCCUUCUCCGCCACUCGACUUCUUGCCAGCUGGUGUCCAGUUACGUUUUGGCAAAGGUGGUCACCGGGCAGACCUGGAGAGAGGGAAGUCAUGGAAGCCCUCUCUGCUCUCUGCAGUGGCGUCGUGAGGCGUGGUCUCUGAAUAACAGAAGAUCUUCUUCAGAAACCUCAAGCUCCGAUGAUGCCUUCAGACCCAUGAGGAUGGAGUGUGAAAUUCCAUGAAUAUCGAGUCUAUUUUCUGGACCCCAGAGCUGUGCGUCUUCCUCUCUGUCGGGCUCAUUCUGAAGCACAGUCCCAGCAUCCAUAUGGCAGAUGCAGCAUCCACGUGGCAGACGCUUCCUGGACACUCUUAACAGCAUCCACAUGGCAGACGCUUCCUGGACACUCUUAACAGUCACAGGACACUUGGGCUAGUCAGGACACAGAGGACACAGCAGGCUGCAGCUGCAGAGCUUGAAAAGAUUUAUUUUAAAAGCCCAAGGGGAUAAAUACAGCAUCUCUCACAUUACUCCAUAUUAAAAAUAUUUGGAUUAAUUAUAUUAAAAAUUUGCAUUCAAAAGCAUGUAUGUAAAUAGGAGUUAAAAAUUGCAGAGUGGGUAGGCAGAGAGUGUCUCCCCUCAAGCAUCUCCAGGGGAGCAGAGCCUCUGAGCUCCACCUGGUCUGGCUGGCACUGCUCGGCUGGCACUCUGAUGAGUGAUGAGUGUUGAACUGGUGAGUGUCGGACUGGCUGGGUUGGGGGCCCAUGCCCCCUGUGAAGCAAAACUUGAGGUAGACCUCACCCCCAAUCCCUGGCCUGAGGCUGUGGGUGCUUUUCUGAGGAAGGCCAAUAGGCUGUCUUUAGAGUUGGGGUCCGAUGCCUGCCAUGUGGACUCUUCUCAGAUGGUGACCAUGCUGGGUCCACUCGUGUCUCUGUCCCGUCUCCUGUGCUGCUGACUUUGUGCAGAAACCAUGGUUCCUGGGCCCAGACCCUGAGAAGCCAUCCUCAUGCCCCUCCCAGCCCCAGCACAUCUGCCCAGCCUUCACCAGACUCAUUCUGCUCCUGCCAGGGAGGCGGUGCCAGCCCACUAUUCCUCUUGGACAGGGUGCCUGUCUUACCAUGUGGAGAUGCCAGGACCAAUGAGAUAAAGUAGGGGCACAGAUUCCCAGAGAACGAAGGUGCC